This 253-nucleotide ribosomal RNA is filed under the name uncultured bacterium. Its description in RNAcentral is "partial 16S ribosomal RNA". It matches the Rfam family "Bacterial small subunit ribosomal RNA", at positions 524 to 776 of the family's 1533-position model. The record is from RNAcentral.
UACAGAGGUCCCAAGCGUUGUUCGGAUUCACUGGGCGUAAAGGGUGCGUAGGUGGUGAAGUAAGUCGGAUGUGAAAUCUCGGAGCUCAACUCCGAAACUGCAUUGGAAACUACUUUGCUCGAGGGUUGGAGGGGGGACUGGAAUUCUCGGUGUAGCAGUGAAAUGCGUAGAUAUCGAGAGGAACACCAGUGGCGAAGGCGAGUCCCUGGACAACUCCUGACGCUGAGGCACGAAGGUCAGGGGAGCAAACGGG